Molecule: long non-coding RNA, 2190 nt
Organism: Triticum urartu
Lineage: Eukaryota; Viridiplantae; Streptophyta; Magnoliopsida; Poales; Poaceae
Source: RefSeq, a predicted model, not a curated record
UCUCUCUCUCCCGCACGAGAUCGCCAUACCCCCGUGCUAGGGUUCCGUCCGCCGCCGCGCCUCACCCUCCGCUCCCAACAACGCUCCCUACUCUCCCGUCCCCUUGCAGUUGUCGUCGUAAUCUCCCGUCGCCGGUCAAUAGCCCUGAAGAAGCCCCGGCCUCCGGCUCCGUGGAGCACGCCGCUCGCCGGCAGCCGCGAUUGAACGCCGGUGGACGCCAUAAUUGUGCGAGACCCUGCCGCGGCAACUCAACUCGCCACCGCUGCACCAGUCAAUUUACCUUGUCGCCACUGCGCCUCCCCAAGCAUCUUCGCAAUGUGCGCAAGGAUACCGCUGACUCUCCGUGGCACCUCUGUCUCCACUUCCCCGUGGCGCUGCUCGCCGGCUCCACAACCAUGUCCUCUCCAAUCCAGUGUGGCUCACGAACUGCUGCAGAGAUGAUGCUUGCCGGAUCCCAUGCAGGCCCUCCUUGCGGACAACCUCCAGCCCACACCAGUUCCCCUGUUCUGGCUGUGCCACCUCCCAUGGCUGAGCAGAGCAAGGAGAUCAAGAGAGAAAAUACUCAAUUGAUUUUACAGGGCAUGGAGAUUGUUUUUGAUCUUUUUGGUUGUUCGCGGAUUCAAGGAUAAUGGCUCCCACACCUUUCCCCAAUGUCUGGGCAAAGCCCAGUCUGUUUCAAAAAAAAAUUGCAGCUUGACCGGGCUGAAGGAAGGAGAUGCUAUGCAAACCGAGAAUGAGCAUGACAAGCAAAGCGACGAAUCAAUUGUGCUGCCGGAUGUUGGCUGGGUGAUUGAUCAAUAUAGAUGGAAGCUUCUUGAGGAAAGCCAAACAAGGGGCUGGGACUUGAUAUUUACAGUUUCGGGUGCAGCAGUGUUGCUAGCAUCUUUUUUCUUGCAUCUAUAUACUGAUGAUGCUUUAUUUGGUGUUGUUUCCCGUGGCACUACAUUAUGGCUUUCUUGACAAUGAUUUUUGCUGAUGUGAUAGUUUAUUUUUAUUUUUUCACUUUCAGUGUAAGGUAAGUGCAAGUAAAACUUCAGUUUCACAUUGGCUAAAUCAGUCAAUGUUGUUUAUGCUCCGGCGGCAGUAGAGGAAUAGAGCUGGCAAGGAAGGGAUCUGUUGGUGGAAUUAACAGGGAAAGUAAUUCAUGAAGUGCCUGGUUGGACCAAGAGCUUGUCCGGUAGUGCUCAUGACAAAUAUCUACAAUGAAGAACGAAAUACUUGGAGAUAGGCUACCAAUUCAGUGUUCAACUCAGGUUUAGACAUUGGGGCACGUGAUGUGUCAAUCAAACAUACUAUAGCCCUCAUAUAACGGAUGAUGCUGUUUGCAAAUUAAGAAUUGAAUGAUGCAAAGAGAUUCAUGAUGUAGAAGAACUUACAAGGAUGCCCCUAUAUAAUCGGCUCCACAUUGGCUUGAAGAGAUGCAAAUGUUUCAACUUCGCCGGAGGUUCUAUGUUGGAAGUUGUGUGUGUGGGUGGUUCAAGAUCCAGAGGUUAGCUAUUCCUUGCAGCUUAUAUCAUGGAACGGGACACCACUGAGGGUUUUCUAAGUCAUUGCCAGAGUCUCAUAAUACCGUAUCCUCUUGGGGUCGUCCUAUACUGGGUCCACACUAUUGUCGCCUAUGUCGUCCCGGUAAAUAUAUAGACAAAGGAGUGUGUGCAGUGGACGAGGAUCAUCCAGCACGCUGCUGGCCAUUUGAUCCUGUGACGUGCUAGCUGGAACCUCCUUGACAAGCUGCUUGCUGGAUGAGAGGGCGACUUAGGACAUGAUCAAGUUUGCCCAUUUCGUUUGGUUGCAAUUUUAUCAUACUAGCAAAUUUGUUUGAGUUGAAACUGAAUGGAAUUCAUGAGAAAACUGCAGGAUGUUGAGUGUGAGGCGACCGAAGAGACCAAAUUGUUGAGGCGACACGGGUCAAAGCGGAGGAGCAGGGCAGCUCAAGUUCAUAACCGGUCAGAGAGGAUGAGAUCAGAAUCAGAUGCUACCCGUGUCGUAAUGUUACAAUUGAGCAAGGGGGCUUGUUCUUGGAUUGUUUCUUUCUUUGGUAGGACAAGGUAGUUCUCUAGAUUAUAAGCAUAAUAAUUACUUGCAAGUUGUCAAGAAUUAUUUGUUUUGCAACUAUAAGAUGAUCAGACCGACUCAAGGGUAUAACUUGUAAUAUGACAGUUCUUGAAUUAGUUGUUUCAUGCCAUUUGA